UAACUAUAACGGUCCUAAGGUAGCGAAAUUCCUUGUCGGGCAAGUUCCGACCUGCACGAAUGGCAUAAUGAUGGCCACACUGUCUCCUCCUGAGACUCAGUGAAGUUGAAAUGUUUGUGAUGAUGCAAUCUCCCCGCGGCUAGACGGAAAGACCCCAUGAACCUUUACUGCAGCUUUGCAUUGGACUUUGAACCGAUCUGUGUAGGAUAGGUGGGAGGCAGUGAAGCUAGGACGCCAGUCUUAGCGGAGCCAACCUUGAAAUACCACCCUGAUUUGUUUGAGGUUCUAACCUAGGAGCGUAAUCCGCUUCGGGGACCGUGCAUGGUAGGCAGUUUGACUGGGGCGGUCUCCUCCUAAAGGGUAACGGAGGAGUGCGAAGGUACGCUAGGUACGGUCGGAAAUCGUGCUGAUAGUGCAAUGGCAAAAGCGUGCUUGACUGCGAGACCGACAAGUCGAGCAGAUACGAAAGUAGGUCAUAGUGAUCCGGUGGCUCUGCAUGGAAGGGCCAUCGCUCAACGGAUAAAAGGUACUCUGGGGAUAACAGGCUGAUACCGCCCAAGAGUUCAUAUCGACGGCGGUGUUUGGCACCUCGAUGUCGGCUCAUCUCAUCCUGGGGCUGUAGCCGGUCCCAAGGGUAUGGCUGUUCGCCAUUUAAAGAGGUACGUGAGCUGGGUUUAAAACGUCGUGAGACAGUUUGGUCCCUAUCUGCCGUGGGCGUUGGAAGAUUGACGGGGGCUGCUCCUAGUACGAGAGGACCGGAGUGGACUCACCUCUGGUGUACCGGUUGUCACGCCAGUGGCAUCGCCGGGUAGCUAUGUGGGGAAAGGAUAACCGCUGAAAGCAUCUAAGCGGGAAACCUGCCUGAAGAUAAGUCUUCCUGGAGGCUUUGACCUCCCUAAAGAGUCGUUCGAGACCAGGACGUUGAUAGGUUGGAUGUGCAAGCGCUGUGAGGCGUUGAGCUGACCAAUACUAAUUGCUCGUGAAGCUUGAUCCU
Molecule: ribosomal RNA, 994 nt
Filed under: human gut metagenome
Description: bacterial LSU rRNA
Rfam family: Bacterial large subunit ribosomal RNA
Source: RNAcentral